RNA transcript from Oryzias latipes (Japanese medaka), 1975 nucleotides. RefSeq lists it as uncharacterized. Lineage: Eukaryota; Metazoa; Chordata; Actinopteri; Beloniformes; Adrianichthyidae. The record is from RefSeq and is a predicted model, not a curated record.
AGGAGACGGAGCUUAUAUAAGCCGCAGUGCAGCGAGCUGACGGUCAAAACGCGCAGGGAGUCAGUGAAUGAAACAUCGCUCACAGUGUCAGAAGAGCUGAAAGAAACUAAGAUAUUAAUUACCCGUGCUGAUUAAGAAGUAUUUUGAAAACAACAUUAGGGAAAACAAAGGCAUUUUUCCCAUCUGACAGAGAAGGGACCUAAUUAUGGCCGAACAAGUAAAUUCUCACUCUGCAAUGGCCGAUGCUCGCCACACCGAUGGCCUCAAUGUGAUCUUUGACCAGAAAAGCCCCGGAUCUUCUUCCCAUUCCCGGUCCCGGUCGAGGAGCAGCAGCAGUUCCAGCAGCCGCAGGAGCCGCUCUUCUGGUUCUGGUCACUACAAGAGACGAGGAAGACGGGACAGAUCUUCAUCUUCAUCUUCCUCCCGUUCAUCCUCGAGGAGCCGGUCCUCGUCUCGGUCCAGGUCUCGGUCUCAUCCCCGCUGCCGCCGACGCUCAUCUCGCUGUCGCUGUGAUGAACACAGAAGAUCUGGCCGGCGCCUCUACCGUCGCUCCCCAUCACGUCGCUACAGAGCCCAUUCCCGCUCCUACAGCCGAUCCCCAACACCAGACGGAUACUACCGCCGUCGCAGAUAUUCAAGAUCCCGCUCCAGGUCUCCGUCCAGGCCUUUUGGUCACUGGAGGAAAUACAGGAGACCUGUGAGCCCGCUCAGAUUCCGAUUCUCUCCGUCCCCAUAUGGAUUCUACAGGGGUCGAUCCAGAUCUAGAUCCAGAUCCAGGAGUCCUGUGCGCUCUGUCAGUUUAAGCCUUGACGAUAAAAGGAAACUGCUUGAAGCUGCUAAGGCUAACGCCAUGAGGAUCCUUGGAGUGGAGAAGAUAGAGCUUCCUGAGAGUGUGAAACCCAUCCUAUCAGAGGAACCAGAGCCCAGACCACUGUCACCAGAACCACUGGUCAGGAGGAGGCAAGGUUCUGAAAGGACUGGACCUCAGAUAACAUGACAGUGGUCUUCACUCAUCAACACCUGGGAUUAAACGGCUGUCAUGUGACUUGGGUGACCAAAAUAUUUGUUUUGCGUGACAGAUCUGUGGAUAUUUGCAACUUUUUAUAUUUGGAGUGACUAGCUAAAGCAACAUGGAUACGGAUUACUUGAAAUGCAUCACAAAAAAACUAAUCACAGCUACCAAUGAACAUUUUUGUUCAUCUACAUUAAAUUAAGAUUGUUUCUCGACUUUUUGUUUGUUUUGAUGGCUACAUUUUUGACAAAAUGACAUGGGUUUUUUAACAGAUCUGCACUCUUUGUCGGAGCGCGGGUGUCUGGACCACAUUAUAGUAAGAGAACCUGUCAAACUAAAGACAGGAGCAGCUCUUCAUUUGCUGAAGAUAAGUUGACAUAAAAGCUGAACGCUUUCAAAGCUAGGAGGGUUGUACUAAUAUAGUCUGGAAACUUCCUUUUGCUAGUCAUUUAUUAAAACGGGCAUCAAGUGGUGAGGAGCAUUUGCUUAAAUAUAUGCAGUAAUAUUCUUUCUGACCGAUCAAUUAAUUCAUUUUAUUUAUUUUUUUAAAUUAGGACAGAGACGUUGAGCCUGGCGUGUCCAACCCCAUGAUGUCUCCAAAAAGACACAUUGCUUUCAGCACAAAUAAUUCUGUGGCCAAACCAACUGCAGCAGCUCCAUCUCCUGCUAAGCUAACGUCGGGAGUGGACAGCUAUGAAAGCAGGAAGCCCUACGGCAGCUGGAUUCCAAUCGGUUCGGGCCAAAGUGCACGCAAAUGAGCUUAGAGCCACAGAGUGGUUAUAUAGACUGUGUAAAUGUUGUAAAUAGUUUAUAUAAAAAGAAUGGUGCAUCACUCCGUGGUCAUUUUCUUUCUUUCAGAUGUGAAAACUUUAUAUGUGAAGAUUUGAAGAACUCGUAUCAGGUGGGAUUAUUUAUAUAGCGCAUUGUAAAUUUAUAGAUGUAAAUAAAGUUUUGUUGAACUGA